Molecule: ribosomal RNA, 523 nt
Filed under: uncultured bacterium
Lineage: Bacteria
Description: bacterial SSU rRNA
Rfam family: Bacterial small subunit ribosomal RNA
Source: RNAcentral
AGAGUUUGAUCCUGGCUCAGGAUGAACGCUAGCGACAGGCCUAACACAUGCAAGUCGAGGGGCAUCGAGGAUUAGCAAUAAUUUGUCGGCGACCGGCGCACGGGUGAGUAACACGUAUGCAACCUGGCUUCAACACUGGAAUAACCCGUUGAAAGACGGCCUAAUACUCGAUAAAACAGGGACCCCGCCUGGGGAUAUUUGUUAAAGAUUUAUCGGUUGAAGAUGGGCAUGCGUAUGAUUAGCUAGUUGGUGAGGUAACGGCUCACCAAGGCAGCGAUCAUUAGGGGUUCUGAGAGGAAGGUCCCCCACACUGGUACUGAGACACGGACCAGACUCCUACGGGAGGCAGCAGUGAGGAAUAUUGGUCAAUGGGCGAGAGCCUGAACCAGCCAAGUCGCGUGAAGGAAGACGGCCCUACGGGUUGUAAACUUCUUUUGCAAUGGAAUAAAAAGAGUUACGUGUAAUUCAUUGUAUGUACAUUGCGAAUAAGGAUCGGCUAACUCCGUGCCAGCAGCCGCGGUAA